RNAcentral lists this transfer RNA (88 nucleotides) under Planctomycetota bacterium. RNAcentral describes it as "Planctomycetes bacterium (groundwater metagenome) tRNA-Ser". It matches the Rfam family "tRNA". Rfam says of the family: Transfer RNA (tRNA) molecules are approximately 80 nucleotides in length. Their secondary structure includes four short double-helical elements and three loops (D, anti-codon, and T loops). Further hydrogen bonds mediate the characteristic L-shaped molecular structure. tRNAs have two regions of fundamental functional importance: the anti-codon, which is responsible for specific mRNA codon recognition, and the 3' end, to which the tRNAs corresponding amino acid is attached (by aminoacyl-tRNA synthetases). tRNAs cope with the degeneracy of the genetic code in two manners: having more than one tRNA (with a specific anti-codon) for a particular amino acid; and 'wobble' base-pairing, i.e. permitting non-standard base-pairing at the 3rd anti-codon position. Lineage: Bacteria; Pseudomonadati; Planctomycetota. The record is from RNAcentral.
GGAGGGGUGGCUGAGUGGUCGAAAGCACCGGUCUUGAAAACCGGCAGGGCCUUACCCGCCCUCGCGGGUUCGAAUCCCGCCCCCUCCG